RNA transcript from Dromiciops gliroides (monito del monte), 3494 nucleotides. It is a transcript of the gene named WD repeat domain 6, with no coding region annotated. The record is from RefSeq and is a predicted model, not a curated record. The transcript has 4 exons. NCBI's taxonomy places the organism in Eukaryota, Metazoa, Chordata, Mammalia, Microbiotheria, Microbiotheriidae.
GCGCGCGAGGACGGUGCCUUGUCAGAAGCCGGCGUGCGGGCCUCUGCUGCCGGCCUCUCGUGCUGUCGUUACGCGAGCCAUGGAGCCUCCUGUGGGGAAGGCAGAGUCGUUGCUGCUGCUCGCCCCUGUCACCGCCCUGGAGUGUGUGGGGGACCGAGUCCUGGCAGGUGAAGGGCCUAACCUACUAAUCUAUUGCUUGGAAACUGGCAGACAGCUUGGUGUAACCCAGUUUGUGCCAAGUGUCCUCUCUCAUUAUUACAUCCACGGCAUCAGGGAACUUCAGAGCCCAGCAUCUACACAGGCAUCAGAGACGACUUUGGCUGUCUUUGGAAGCAAAGGCCUCCGUGUUCUGACAUUGAGCUGGGCAGAGGAGACAGUGAAGCUGACGUGGCUUUCCCAGCUUUGUGAGCUUCAUGACUGGAUCUGGGAUCUUCAUUGGGUCCAGGGCCCUGAAAAAGCCUCUUCUGUCCUGGCCCUAGCCCUGGGACACAACUCGGUGGUCCUUUAUGACCACAUCCAUCAGCAGGCCUUGCGGGAGGUACACUGUGAGGAGAUGUGUAUUAUCUAUUCCGCUUGCUUGGUGGGGAAGGACUGGCAGGAGCUGGUGCUGGUUGCUGGUACUGUUUUUAACCAGCUGGUGAUUUGGCGCCCAGCUGACUUUACCAAUGAGGAAAGACGAGUCAAAGUGGAGAGAAGGAUAAGUGGGCACAAUGGGGUCAUCUUCAGUAUAUGCUACAUGGAGAGCAAAGGCCUUUUAGCUUCAGCCUCUGAUGACCGAAGCAUUCGGGUCUGGAGAGUGGGGGACCUGAGGGCCCCUCCUGGCUUAGUCCAGUGUAUUCUGGUGUGUUAUGGUCACCAGUCCAGGGUGUGGUCUGUCCAGCUUCUGGACAAUUAUAUCAUUAGCAUUGGAGAGGAUUCAGCUUGCAUUGUGUGGAAUUACGUUGGUGAAAUAGUUCAGACCUUUAAAGGACACAAAGGUCGUAGCAUCAGGGCUGUGGCUGUCCACAAAACACAAGCCUGGGUGGUCACAGGUGGAGCUGAUUCAAGCAUUCGACUUUGGCCCCUCAAGGGGAACAGGCUUCAGGGUAAUAGUCUCUCACCUCUGGGCUUCAGCUCAUUUACAAAGAAAGGAUCUCCAAAAGCCUUAACUUUAGUCAGUCCUUCAUGGCUUCUUGUGAUGACUGAUGUUGGAGCCGUUUAUCUCUAUGACUUGACAGUUAAACGGUGGAAGUUCAUCUUGGAUGAUAUCAAUUACCAGUCCUACAAUUUGCUGGAUGCUGUUCAGCUACCUGGUGGUAGUGUGAUAUGUGCACUAGGGAACCUAGAGGGUCACAUUAAAAUAUUUCCCCUCCACUACCCACAAGAGGCAAAGGAACUGAAGAUUUAUAAGGGGAAAGUCCAUGGCCUAAGCUGGGUCACACGCCAGCCCCAGGAUCCAGGUAGGAAUGAUUUGUGCUGUGCCCUUUUUGCUUCUGGCCCAGAGGGUGUCUUGUUGUGGCUAGACGUCUCCUUCUGCACUUUAGGAAGGGUAGACAAGGUGGUGGAGCAGCGUCGCUAUAUCCUGCCCCUCUGCAAACAAAGGUGGCACACUUGCCUCACCUUCUUACCCCAAGGGGACUUCCUUGUGUGUGGCGACCGCCGGGGCUCUUUGCUCUUAUUUCUUUGUGGAGAGGCCACUGCUGAGGCAAGUGGAGAAGGAGGAAGGAAGAGUGACAGCAGUGCUGACAGUGAUGAGGAUCAAGGGUCUGAGCGUUCUCUCACCCCUGAGGAGGGGGCCCCUGUUGACCUUCUGUUUGGGAUUCAUGGGAAGCAGGGUGUUACCUCAGUGACCUACCACAAGGAUUAUGUCUAUAGCACAGGCAGGGAUGGCUCCUUCCAGCAGCUCCGUGUGCAGGGGCGACGGCUCCAGCCACUAUGGAAACAAAGACCUUGCAAAGGCAUGGACUGGGUGGCUGGGCUCAGCUUUGCGCCUGAUGGAAACCUACUUGUCCUUGGCUUUCAUUCUACUGACUUUUUAGUCUGGAGCCCUCGGACCCAUGAGAAGCUUCACAUUGUACCCUGUGGUGGAGGCCACCGUUCUUGGGGCUAUGCCCAAACUCCAGCCACCAUGGUCUUUGCCUACAUCAAGGCUGGGGAUGUCAUGGUGUAUCGGGCUCAGGAGGAGGGCAGCUGCAGCCAAGCAGUCCUGAAGGAGUCCCUGCAUGGUCGAGAACUCACCUGUGUGAGGUAUGUUGGAGCUGUGAGGACUCAGGAGGGGGGCGACACUGUUGACAUCCUGGUCACAAGUAGUGAAGACACAACAGUGAACAUUUUGGCUUUCGUAGCUGCUUCCUCCACAGUCGCUUUGCUUGCCACCAUCAAUAACCACAUCUCUAGUGUUCGGACCCUGGCACUGUGUGGGGCAGAUACUGAUGGAGCAGAGCCACAGGCAAAACUCAGAAGGCUCCUUUUCUCUGCUGGCAGUAGGGCUGAGAUACAGUGCUAUGAACUCCUGGUCACUCCAGACCUCAACGCCCAGGCAGGGCUCACCUGCCAGGUUACCCAUCUGCUUUCUCACCGGUUAGAUGAGCACUGGGACCACCAGAAGAACAAGCACAAGAUUAUCAAGAUGGACCCUGAAACCAGGUACAUGUCCAUUGUUGUGGUGACCAGUCCUCAGCAGUUUAAUUUUGGCCUUGUCCUGGCUGCAGCCUGUAGUGAUGGAUCUGUGAGGUGAGUAGCACAUUCUGUUUUUGUGACAACUUCCUUUGGAGUUGCUAGUUCUUUGUGGGAACAUUAGGGAAGCCUGAGGGGAGACAGAUAUGGGAACAGGGACAGGACAGGGAAAGAAUACCUUUGUGCUAGAGAAACCUGAAGGAGCAAGUCACAUCAAUGGCAGACCUUUUACACAGUCUGGUCCUGAAUACUCUUGAUGAGACCAUAGUCCAGAAAAUGCAUUUUGUUUUCAAUUAUCUGCGUGUAGGUUAUUUGGACACAUUUAAAAACACUAGGCUGGUUUCCCCACACUGCUCAGUGGGGAUGAUUGAUUACAGUAUCACAUCAUAUCAAGCAAAGCAUAAGAAGGAAAGAGUAACACCUUGGCAGGCAGCUGCCGUAGGCAUUUAUUUCCAUUUCACAGGUGGGGAAAAUGAGGCUUGGCAAAGUUAAGAGAUCUGCCUCUGGUUACACAACCAAAUGAAGUGUCAGAAGCUUGAUAUUCACUACACCCCUUCCACAUGAGAAGAUGCACAGUAAAUUCCAGAAUCAGAUAGAAAUCAUCUGGUAGAAACAUCAUUGUUGCUGCUCCAGCAAAAGGUGACUGUAUAGUCUUCCUUUUCUCCUGUUGGGUUUUUUUUUUUCCCCUGAAAGGCUCUUUCUGGUGGAUGAAUUAGCUCGGAAGCUACAGCUCUUAGCAGAGUCCUUUUACCAUCAGCGCUGUGUCCUGAAGAUCCAAACACUGACAUAUGAGGCAAGGACUGGAACAAGAAGUGUGCUCCUGUGUAGUGCUGCUACCG